GAUGAACGCUGGCGGCGUGCCUAAUACAUGCAAGUCGAGCGAACGGACGAGACGCUUGUGUCUUUGACGUUAGCGGCGGACGGGAGUGUAACACGUGGAUAAUCUACUUAUAAGUCUGGUAUAACUUCGGGAAACCGGCGCUUAUACCGGAGAAUAUUCUGAACCGUAUUGUUCAAUAGUGAAAGACGGUCUUGCUGUCACUUAUAGCUGGAUCUGCGCUGCAUUAGCUAGUUGGUAAGGUAACGGGUUAUCAAGGCAACGAUGCAUAGACGAGCGGAGAGGGUGAUCGGCCACACUGGAACGGAGACACGGUCAAGGCUCCUGCGGGAGGCAGCAGUAGGGAAUCUGACGCAGUAGGCGAAAACCUGACAGAGCAACGGCGCGUGAGUGAUGAAGAUGUUGGGAGCGUAAAACUCUGUUAUUAGGGAAGAACAGAUGUGUAAGUAACUGUGCACAUCUUGACGGUACCUAAUCAAAAAGCAACGGCUAACUACGUG
This 497-nucleotide ribosomal RNA is filed under the name uncultured bacterium. Its description in RNAcentral is "partial 16S ribosomal RNA". It matches the Rfam family "Bacterial small subunit ribosomal RNA", at positions 28 to 507 of the family's 1533-position model. The record is from RNAcentral.